UCGAGAAUCUUCGGCAAUGGGCGCAAGCCUGACCGAGCGACGCCGCGUACGGGAUGAAGGCCUUCGGGUUGUAAACCGUUGUCAGAGGGGAGGAAAUCUUGUUGGGUUCUCCCAGCAAGUUGACCUAGCCUCAGAGGAAGGACGGGCUAAGUUCGUGCCAGCAGCCGCGGUAAGACGAACCGUCCGAACGUUACUCGGAAUUACUGGGCUUAAAGGGUGCGUAGGUGGCCCUGAAGGUUGGGUGUGAAAGACCUCGGCUCAACCGAGGAAUUGCGCCCAAAAACUACAGGGCUUGAGGAAGGCAGAGGUGAGUGGAACUUGCGGUGGAGCGGUGAAAUGCGUUGAUAUCGCAAGGACACCAGUGGCGAAAGCGACUCACUGGGCCUUUCUGACGCUGAUGCACGAAAGCUAGGGGAGCGAAGAGGAUUAGAUACCCUCGUAGUCCUAGCCGUAAACGAGUGAGCACGUUGUUCGAGGGGUCCUCCAUAGCCUCUCGGACGUAGCGAAAGUGGUAA
RNAcentral lists this ribosomal RNA (515 nucleotides) under uncultured Planctomycetota bacterium. RNAcentral's name for it is "bacterial SSU rRNA". It matches the Rfam family "Bacterial small subunit ribosomal RNA", at positions 355 to 863 of the family's 1533-position model. The record is from RNAcentral. Lineage: Bacteria; Pseudomonadati; Planctomycetota.